CCUACGGGUGGCAGCAGUAGGGAAUAUUCCACAAUGGACGAAAGUCUGACGGAGCAACGCCGCGUGAGUGAAGAAGGGUUUCGGCUCGUAAAGCUCUGUUGGUAGGGAAGAAAGAUAGAGGUAGUAACUGGCCAUUAUUUGACGCUAAUUACUUCGAAGGUCACGGCUAACUACGUGCCAGGAGCGGCGGUAAUACGUAGGUGGCCAGCGUAGGCCGGAUUUAUUGGGCGUAAAGGGAGUGCUGGCGGUUAAAUAAGUCAGAUGUGAAAGCCUUCGGCUCAACCUGAGGAUUGCAUCAGAAACGGGUGAACUUGAGUGCAGAAGAGGAGGGUGGAACUCCAGGUGUAGCGGUGAAAUGCGUAGAUAUAAGGAAGAACACCAGUGGCGAAGGCGGCCCUCUGGUCUGCAACUGACGCUGAGGCUCGAAAGCGUGGGUAGCGAACAGGAUUAGAUACCCUUGUAGUC
Molecule: ribosomal RNA, 465 nt
Filed under: uncultured bacterium
Lineage: Bacteria
Description: partial 16S ribosomal RNA
Rfam family: Bacterial small subunit ribosomal RNA
Source: RNAcentral